UUUGCCUACGGGAGGCAGCAGUGAGGAAUAUUGGUCAAUGGGCGGGAGCCUGAACCAGCCAAGUCGCGUGAGGGACGACGGUCCUAUGGAUUGUAAACCUCUUUUGUCGGGGAACAAAGGCGUCCACGGGUGGGCGGAUGAGUGUACCCGAAGAAAAAGCAUCGGCUAACUCCGUGCCAGCAGCCGCGGUAAUACGGAGGAUGCGAGCGUUAUCCGGAUUUAUUGGGUUUAAAGGGUGCGCAGGCGGAGGUGCAAGUCAGCGGUCAAAUUGCGGGGCUCAACCCCGUACUGCCGUUGAAACUGCA
This 305-nucleotide ribosomal RNA is filed under the name uncultured bacterium. RNAcentral's name for it is "bacterial SSU rRNA". It matches the Rfam family "Bacterial small subunit ribosomal RNA", at positions 334 to 637 of the family's 1533-position model. The record is from RNAcentral.